GGAAAGUUGCCGGAGUGGUCGAACGGGGCAGACUCGAAAUCUGUUGAGCUCUUCGGGGCUCCGGGGGUUCGAAUCCCUCACUUUCCG
This 87-nucleotide transfer RNA is filed under the name Bacteroidales bacterium. Its description in RNAcentral is "tRNA-Ser". It matches the Rfam family "tRNA". From Rfam's summary of the family: Transfer RNA (tRNA) molecules are approximately 80 nucleotides in length. The record is from RNAcentral. Lineage: Bacteria; Pseudomonadati; Bacteroidota; Bacteroidia; Bacteroidales.